AACGAACGCUGGCGGCAGGCCUAACACAUGCAAGUCGAGCGAAGCCUUCGGGCUUAGCGGCGGACGGGUGAGUAACGCGUGGGAACGUGCCCUUUGGUACGGAAUAGCUCCGGGAAACUGGGAGUAAUACCGUAUGUGGUCGAGAGACGAAAGAUUUAUCGCCAAAGGAUCGGCCCGCGUUGGAUUAGGUAGUUGGUGGGGUAAUGGCCUACCAAGCCGACGAUCCAUAGCUGGUUUGAGAGGAUGAUCAGCCGCACUGGGACUGAGACACGGCCCAGACUCCUACGGGAGGCAGCAGUGGGGAAUCUUAGACAAUGGGGGAAACCCUGAUCUAGCCAUGCCGCGUGAUCGAUGAAGGCCUUAGGGUUGUAAAGAUCUUUCAGUGGGGAAGAUAAUGACUGUACCCACAGGAGAAGCCCCGGCUAACUCCGUGCCAGCAGCCGCCGCAG
RNAcentral lists this ribosomal RNA (449 nucleotides) under uncultured bacterium. RNAcentral describes it as "partial 16S ribosomal RNA". It matches the Rfam family "Bacterial small subunit ribosomal RNA", at positions 29 to 523 of the family's 1533-position model. The record is from RNAcentral.